This 72-nucleotide transfer RNA is filed under the name Mustela putorius furo (domestic ferret). It matches the Rfam family "tRNA". Rfam says of the family: Transfer RNA (tRNA) molecules are approximately 80 nucleotides in length. Their secondary structure includes four short double-helical elements and three loops (D, anti-codon, and T loops). The record is from Rfam by way of RNAcentral. Lineage: Eukaryota; Metazoa; Chordata; Mammalia; Carnivora; Mustelidae.
GGCUGGGUGGUUCAGUCGGUGGAGCAUCUGACUUGGGCUCAGGUGGAGAUUUCUGGGCUCCCUGCCCAGCUA